RNAcentral lists this long non-coding RNA (400 nucleotides) under Brassica napus (rape). Its description in RNAcentral is "long non-coding RNA (BNAP_LNC022034)". The record is from RNAcentral. Lineage: Eukaryota; Viridiplantae; Streptophyta; Magnoliopsida; Brassicales; Brassicaceae.
UUAAAUAUGAAGAAGAAAAUAAUAGUUUCAUCCAAUGUGUAGUAAAGUAUAUAAAUCUAAUCUAUUAAAACAUGAGUACAAAAAUAAAGGGCAAAUCUCCAAAAUAGCACAUUUCUAAGUUUAUAUCACAAAAAUAGCACUCAAAAACUAAAAUGACCAAAAUAACACAUUUCUAAGUUUAUCCUUUGAAAAUUUUAAUUUUUUUAUUUUUCAAAAUUUGAAAUCUUAUCCCCAAAAACUCAUUUCUCAACUCUAAACCAUAAACCCUAAACUCUAAACCCUAAAUCCUAAACCCUAAACCCUAAACCCUAAUCCCUAAACCCUAAACCCUAAACUCUAAACUCUAAACCUUAAACCCUAAACCCUAAACUCUAAACCCUAAACCCUAAAUCCUAAACCC